AGACACUGGGAUGGCUGCACCUUUACCCGUCCUCUCCAACUCUCUCCACCUAGAAAGUAUUCUUUUCUCUUAAUUUUGUUAGAGUUAUAUAGGAAUGCUCCUUCAGCAGAAAUGACAGAGGCUGUUGCUCUCAGAAUCAAAUGCAAUAAUGUGACCUGUAAAUUCCUGUGAAUAUUUGGAUAUUUUAGCGAUAUUUGUUUAUUCAGAAGAGAUUCUGGAUGCAGAACUCUCCUCCUCUCUGUUCUCUAACCCUGCUUUCCACCAUCAUUCUUCUCUCUCUAGGGCACAGAGAGAAUUAAGAACAACCUAAGGGUCAUUACAAUGAUCUAACUGCCUUACCUGCUUUUGAACUGGUUGAGCCUCUUGUGGGACCGAAAACAAAAGAAGGGUGUUGAAAUGCAAAUAGAUAACUCUGGGUCCCAGUCCCUGACUGCAAAAGGAAGCCAAAACUGACAACAACGUCUCCUUCUCUACGGAGGUUUGUAGAAAGGCUGUACAAAAAUCUCACAAGAUGUAUUUCUUCUCGUGGACUGGAGUCCCAAGGUGCUUAAGAGCUCUUCAAUUUGUUAAUGGAAAGAAACACCAUUUACACCGGAUGGCUACAAAGCAACCUUAUUCUGAGGGAGAUUUGAGACAGGAGAAGAGAAGACACGAAGGAGGGAAGGAAGUGAUGUGACCACAGAGGCAGCGAUUGGAGUGAUGUAGUCACAAGCCAAGGAGCACCAACAGCCACCAGGAGCUGGAAGAGCCCAAGAGUAUAUACUAAUACCUGGAUUUGGGACUUGGGACUUCUGGUCUCUAGAAGUAGGAAAGAAUAAACAUCUGUUUUUUGUUUGUUUGUUUGUUUUUUCUUUUUUUUGAGUCAGGGUCUUGCUCUGUCACCCAGGUUGAAGUGCAGGGGUGUGAUCACGGCUCACUGCAGCCUUGACCUCCUGGUCCCAAGCAAUCCAACUCAUCUCAGUCUCUCGAGUAGCUGGGAGACCAGCCACCAAACCCAGCUAAUUUUUGUAUUUUUUAUAGAGAUGAGGUUUCACACCAUGUUGCACAGGCUGGUCUCGAACUCCUGAGCUCAAGCGAUCUGCCUGCCUUGGCCUCCCGAACUGCAGGGAUUACAGGCAUGUUAUUUUAAGCCACUCAGUUUUUACUACAGCCACAGGGAAGCAAUACAAAGGUCAAGGGAAUUUUCUGUUUUUAAAAUAUGGAGGCCAGGCUCGGUGGCUCACGCCUGUAAUCCUAGCACUUUGGGAGGUUGAGGUGGGCGGAUCACUUGAGGUCAGGAGUUCAAGACGAGCCCAACCAACAUGGUGAAACCCCCGUCUCUACUAAAAAUACAAAAAUAAACUGGACUUCAUGGUGGGAGUCUGUAAUCCCAGCUACUUGUUCAAGAGAAUCACUUGAACCCGGGAGACAGAGGUUGCAAUGAGCCAAGAUCGUGCCACUGAACUCCAGCCUUGGUGACAGAGCAAGACUCCAUAUCUCUUUCUCUCUCUCUCUCUCUCUCUCUAUAUAUAUAUAUAUAUACACACACACACACAAACAGAAGAUUUCCAGCACACCAGAAAGGCAUUCUUUCUCUGUUUUGUAUAUAUACAUAUACACACACACACGCACACACACACACACACAGAUACACACACACAUAUAUACAUACACACACACACACACAUAUAUAGAUAGAUACACACACUUACACACACACAAACAGAAGAUUUCCAGCACACCAGAAAAGCAUUCUUUCUCUGUUGUUUUUUUUUCCAUUUAUGUAUCUCAGACAGGUCCAAUAACUGGAUCUGGAAAGACUGGAAAUCUUCCUUUUGUCCCUCUGUUUCCCCUCUCCACACUUCUCCACCCUGCCCUCUCCUGGGGGAGUCUGGCCCUUAUGAACCACAUCAAAGGAUCCUCUGGCUUCCGGUUGGGUUUGGCCAGUGGGGAACCCCAGCAGGUAGAGGGGAGGUGGAGAGCUUGGCUGUGUCCUCAAGUAGAAGGCCACUGGUUCUCUCAGCAUGUCCUCUCUACAUGCAUGUCAGGGUCCCCAUGACCACUCCUUUCUUGCAUCCUUAAGGCCUUGGAGUAGACAGCACUGCUUGCUAGCCCCAGGAACCUGCACUUUUCCUUGGGGUUUUCUGUACCGUAUCUGUAUUUACAAAUAGCAUCUUUACUAAAUCCUCUUGGAAUUAUGCAGAGUUGAAUAUGCCAUCUACUUCUCUGUGGGGACUCUGACUGGUGAUGCACUUUGAAAGGACAGAAAACCUUGAGUCUCUGGACAUUUCUACAGUGUUUCACAUUCAGCAUUGCUGGUAUUGUAGAUAAAUACCUGUCGGGUAGUUGUAUCAUUUUCAUGCUCAAUUAUUUUUCAGCAAAAGCUCUUUGGACUACUAUUAAUAUUCAAUGUCUUUGUGUUUUCUCUUAGAUCUCCCUAAGUCUCAUAUCUUAUGCUAUUUGCUAAAUGAUUAUAUUCUUUUUUAAAAAAAUUUUUAAUUUUUUAAUUUUUUUUCUAAUUUUUCAUCACUCUCAGGAUGUGAUUACAUUCUUUAUCUAUUAAUAUUUUCUUUUUUCUUCCACUUCUUGCCCACAAGUAUCAUCUUGAUCAUGGGUAAAUAAUUGCAUUAAUUUAAAAAUUUCAGCUUAUAGUCAUAUGAUGUUUUUUUCCUCCUAAGAAUUUCAGGAAACAACAUAUUGUCCUAAGGUAUUUGUAUACGUGUCACGGUCACUUGUUUGGUAAUUAAAUACUGUGUCCUUUGAAUGCCUGUGGAAAGCUGUCUUCCCUGAUAUUUCUCUCUCAAGAUAGCCAUGAGCCCACAAUUCUGAUUAUCAGUGCAGAGCGGGGCCCCAACUUUUUAUUCUUUAUUUUUAUUUUAGAGAUGGAGUUUUGUUCUGUCGCCCAGGCUGGAGUGCAGUGGUGCAGUCAUGGCUUACUGCAGCCUUGAACUCCUGGGUUCAAGCAAUCCUCCUGUCGCAGCCUCCUGAGUAGCUGGGGCUAAAGGUAUGUGCAACCAUACCCAGCUAAUUUUUUUUUUUUUUUGAGACAGAGUCUCGCUCUGUAGCCCAGGCUGGAGCAUAGUGGAAUGAUCUCAGCUCACUGCAGCCUCUGCCUCCCAGGUUCAAGCAAUUCUCCUGCCUCAGCCUCCUGAGUAGCUGGGAUUACAGGUGCACACCAGCAUGCCCGGCUAAGUUUUAUAUUUUUAGUAGUGACAGGGUUUCACCAUGUUGGCCAGGCUGGUCUUGAACUCCUGACCUCAGGUAAUCCGCCUGCUUCAGCCUCCUAAAGUGCUGGGAUUACAGGCGUGAGACACCGCACCAGCCUUUUUUAUUUUUAUUAUUAUUAUUUUUUGAGACAGAGUCUCACUCUGUCUCCCAGGCUGGAGUGCAGUGGUGCGAUCUCAGCUCACUGCGACCUCCACCUCCAGGGUUCAAGCGAUUCUCGUGUCUCAGCCUCCAGAGUAGCUGGGAUUACAGGCGCACGCCACCACCACUGGCUAAUUUUUUUGUUAUUGUUGUAUUUUUAGUAGAGACAGGGUUUCAUCAUGUUGGCCAGGCUGGUCUCAAACUCCUGAGCUCAGGCAAUCUGCCCACUUUGGCCUCCCAAAGUGCUAGGAUUACAGGCGUGAGCCACCACUCCCGGCCCAUAGGUUCUUACAUAAUGUUCACAACCAUCCCAAUUAUCUUCUUUUUCCAUCUUUGGAACCGAAGCUUUGAGGAGUGAAGCAUGGAGUGAGGAUUUGGACCUGGGACUCCUGACCCCUUAUCUAGCUAAUCCCCUUUCCAACCACCCACAGAGCACAGCACUCGCAGACCGGCCCUAGGUUUGCGGCCUGGCUUCUUUAGUGACCAUUUGCGAGGUUUCAGACAUCACUUUCCCAUCUCUAAGAUGGGGAUGAUACCCCACAGGGUGUUCAGCGGGUUAAACAUGGUCACGUGUGAGAAAGCACUGAGCCUCUUGCCUCUCUAAAAUGACCUCCCCUGGUCAAUUUCAUUAUCCUGUUUGUUUCCUCUAUACCAAGUACCCAGUCUGCAAUUACCUUGUUUGCUAUGAGGUUCUCCUGUUUAAAACAUGUGCUUCCUAAGGGAAGGGACUCGGCCUGUUUGUCUUCCCUGCUACAUUCUCAGCAGCACUUAGCACGGUCAUUGGCACACAGUAGAUGCUCAAUAAAUAUUUUGUUGUCUCCCUACCUCCUCAUCUAUUUAUCAUUUUCUUUUUUUUUUUUUUUUUGAGACGGAGUUUCGCUCUUGUUGCCCAGGCUGGAGUGCAAUGGCGUGAUCUCGGCUCACUGCAACAUCUGCCUCCUGAGUUCAAGCGAUUCUCCUGCCUCAGCCUCCCAAGUAGCUAGGAUUACAGGCAUGCGCCACCAUGCCCGUCUAAUUUUGUAUUUUUAGUAGAGAGAGGGUUUCUCCAUGUUGGUUAGGUUGGUCUGGAACUCCUGACCUCAGAUGAUCCACUUCCCUCGGCCUCCCAAAGUGCUGGGAUUACAGGCGUGAGCCACCGCGUCCAGUCUUACUUAUUUUCUAAAACAGGAUCCCGCAAACUAUAGCUCAAGGGUCACCUCUGCCUGUCACCUGUUUUUAUAUGACUUGUGAGCCAAAAGAUUUUUACAUUCUUAAACGGGUAGGGAAAAAAAAGAAGAAUUUAUGACAUGAAAAUUAUGCAAACUUCAGAUUUCUGUGUACGUAUGUAAACUUUUAAUGAAACACAACUGUGUCCAUUCAUUGACAUAUUGUCUAUGUCUGCUUUCAAACUACAGUGCAGAGUUGGGUAAUUGCAACAGAGAUCAUAGGAACCACAAAGCUUAAAAUAUUCACUAUGUGGCUCUUUACAGAAAAAGUUUGCCCAUCCUUGUCCUAAAAGAUAAAUAGAAAUUGCUUGAAAACUAAUAAUCACUCUGCUAUUCACCCUCAGUUAUUCAUGUACUUACCUGAUUGUCUUUCAUUCAGACACUUAUUUAUUCAACAAAUAUUUAUUGAGCAUCCACUUCUUCUACCAAAUAGAUCAAGGGACUCAGCUCUGUUUGCCCUCCCAUAGUUGGGGAGGUGUGUCAGGGAAUCGGGGGAAUGUGGCCCCAGUGAUGGUGACUGAAUUUGUGUUAACCCACCAGCUCCGUACCUUUGUUAAGGUGACAUAUGGGGGCUGUUGAAUAGAAAGAAGCCACAUACAUCCCAUGGGGCUUGAACCCAAGCUUUUGGCAUGAUGAAUAUCGAAGCGCUAGGCAGGGUCUCAUAAAUGGAGGCCUGUUCUUUUAGAUCAGGUUUUUCUUUUUCAGUCUGGGACUCACCUGUUACUUUUCUGGGCCUUGAAGCUCUGAUCUCUGCUUUUGUCUCUCUGUCUUCUGCAUCUCACAGUGUAAAUAUAGCUAAAACAUCCGCAGACACCCUUCUUCCUCUUCCCCUAUGGUUUCCAUUUCCUCUGUCCUCUGUCCUAGCUGUUAAAACUACAUUAGCUAUGAAGGGGGUCAGAGGAAUGAGAAAUAAUAGCUGUAAAUAUUUGUUAGGUGCCCAGCACAAGCAUUGUCAUUUUUAAUCUUUUCUUUAAAAGGUGGGUACUUUUAUUGUUCUCCUGUGUUACAGAUGAAAAAACUGUGGCUCAGAGGGGCAAAGCAAUUUGCCCAGUGUAACAUCUGUGAAGCAGUGAAGCCUGGAAUUUGAACCCAGGCAGUGUGACUCCAGAGAUGGAGCUCUUAAGUAUGGUGACGGAUCAGGCAUAUCUGCAUAUUCUAUGACAGGAAAGCAGUGUGGGUGGAAAAUAGGGGUGCCUUCCUUUUUUUGUAAUGGCAGUUUUGGCAACUCCCUCAGGUAGAUACCAAAGAGGAAAUUGGUAGUCACUGUCAGACCAGACACCCUGCAUCUCAGAAAGAACAUUUACUACCAAAGGGACUUGGAAGUGCUAACAGGCCGGAAAGAAACUGGAUGAGGGACAAAAAAGACUGACACUUGUUCUUUCUGCUGGUGUGGGGUUAUCAUGACUUUGCAAGAUCAAACAUCUUGACAAAACAUCAAAACAUCUUGACAUCUGACAAACCAGGUUGGUUCUCAGGAUCGACUCAAUGAUUGUCCAAAAUACCAGGUCAUAAAUUUAACAGAACUGACCCAACCAGCAAUGCCCGAGGUGCCUGUGGAAUGUUAAUCAUGUUACUAGAAAAAAGGAGGGGUCAAAUAAGUAUGGGGAUGUAGAGUUAAACAAGGGUAAGCAGGAUCUUAACUGUGUGAACUUCUGUGACCCUCCAAGAGGGACAAACUAUGGAUGGCAAUUAUCAGACCUCGGCCAUGUGUCAAUGGCUAUCUCAGGGGACUGGUGUUCUGGGUGUUCCAGGGAACUCCUUUUGGGCAAUGCUGCUUUAAGCCUUUCCCUUUCCCUUUUCCUUUUAGCUUAAGAAAUCCCAAACACGUUUGUGAUUUCAGAGCAGUCUGUGUCUUGUGUCAAUUCAUUGCUGCUUCUAGGCUAGGAAGGGAAAAGGGUUGCCAUAUUUCCAGUGAUGAAAGAACUUUGUUAGGAAAGAUGUUCAGAUUAAUAACACAAAAUUAGAUUGGAGUUUUUUGAGAGCCUUUCAAUUAUUCAGCAGUGAUGUCUCAGUAAAAGUGGAAGUAAACUGGGACCAUGUAAACCUUUCUCAAGUGUUAAUGUUUCACAUAUUUUAGUUUGUUUAGUCUUUUACAUAUUGUUCAAACCAUUAAGUUAGACCUCAGAAUAUAAAGCAUGUUUAUUUUCUAAUGAUAAACGAAACACAUAUUUAUGUGACUAAGAUGUGGGA
RNAcentral lists this long non-coding RNA (6740 nucleotides) under Homo sapiens (human). Its description in RNAcentral is "HSALNT0297368". The record is from RNAcentral. Lineage: Eukaryota; Metazoa; Chordata; Mammalia; Primates; Hominidae.